GGUACUGGUCCAAAUGGUUUGACUGCAUAUAUGUCCUCCGAAUCUAUGGUACAGACUGAAGAGGAUUAUCAAAAAGAAAAAGAAAAAAAACUAAUCGAAUUGGAUAUUCAGAAAAAUGAAAAAAAUAAGGAUAUAUUAAAUUAUGCAUAUAAAAUAGAAGCAUAUCGUAAUGAUAUAAAUAAUUUACGAGAAUCAAUACAAAAAUGUAAGUUUGCACAAGAUGAAUUAAAAACGAAAUUAAAAAACGUAAAUGAGUUAAUUGAUAAACAUGUUAAUUUAUUUUCUGAACAGUUGGAUCUUGAAAUAAAAGAAAAAAAUAUAAUAUUAGAUGAAUUUAAUAAAAAUGUAAAUGAAAUAAAUGAAUAUAUAAAUGUGUAUGAAGAAAAAAAAAUAUAUAAUACAUACAUAUGUAAAUUAUAUACAUGUUUAGUAACAGAUCAUGAUAAAUAUCUAGAACGAAAAAAAAAUCAAUUUUGUCAUUUUGUAAGAGAAUAUAACAAUUUAAAAGAAAUAUAUAUUAAGUUAGAAAAGGAACAACAAAGAAAUGAUGAAACUGCUAUAAAAAAUAAGAAAAUAUUUUUCUUAAAUUUAAAUAAAAUGCAUCAUAUAUUUUUCGAAUCUUUUAUUAAUAACUCUAUAGGUUAUGAUAGUAUUUUUUUAAAGUCUCCUUUUUUGCUUAUAAAAGAAAAACAUGAAAUAGAGUAUGUUAUGAAUAUAUAUGACGUGGUUAUACAAAAAAAUAGACAACAUAUAAGUAAUAAACAAACAGAAACUGUAAUAGCAGAAGUGGAACCGGAGAAUAAUAAUAAUAAUAAUAAUAACAACAGUAUAGAAGAUAAAAAAAUAAAAAUGAUGUUUUAUUAUACCAUAACAUAUCCAAAUAAAUCAGGAGGCAAUACAGAAACAAGACAAGUAUCAGUGAACAUUCCUACAUCUUGUUUAAGUUUAUUUAAUAAACUUUUUUUAGUAAAUUCUAAUGGCGAAAAAGAUAAAAAAGGUGAUAAUAUUAGUGACGAAGAAACGACUAAAAGUAAUAGUACUGAUGAUGACGAAUAUAUUAGUUUUAAAAAACAAGAACAUAAUACUUAUGUAAAAGCAAAAGGUUUUAAUAAUCAAAGUAUGGAAGAAGGGAUAGAAGAUAUAGUUGAAUAUGAUACAUAUAUUAGAGAUUUAGUUAAAAGGGAUAUACAAUCUGGGAUGGAAUCAGAAGAGGAGACAGAAGUGGUGACAGAAAUGGUGACAGAAAUGGUGACAGAAAUAGUGACAGAUGAGAAGACAGGGGUGGAGAAGGAAACGGAUAUACAUAUACAACAACGUGAACAAACACAAAGGAAUGUAAACAUUUUCGAUGUAAAUCGAAAUCAUACCACUGACAUUGGAAAUGAAAAUACAUACAAUAGUAAUAAUGAUAUAUCUACCUAUGCAGAUAUAUUAUGGAAAAAACGAUGUGAAAAAAAACACGAAUUAACUAUAAUGAUAAAAAAUAUGGGUUGUUAUGAAACAGAACUUACUGAUAAUUCUAUAAAAGCAUAUUUUAACAAACUAAUGGAAGAAUAUAUAACAGAAGAUACAUAUUAUCAAAACCAAUUAAAACAAAUAAACGAAUUAAAAUUAAAUUAUAAUAUGCAUUCAUGUAAUAUUAAAUUAAGAAAAGUAAAAUUUGCUAAUACUUUAAAAAAAAACGAAAAAAAGUAUUAUAACCAAUUUUCAAAAUAUUUUACAAAGUAUGAAUAAUUAUAAAGGUAAAAUUCUAAUUGAUGAAUCAAUUAAAAGUUUUAAAGUUUUAGUUUCUUUAAAUAAUCGUAUUUCAAAAAAGUCUUAUCUGAAUAUUAAUUCGUUAUCAGGAGGUGAAAAAUCAACUAUACAGAUGGCUUUGUUGGCUUCAUUUUCCUUAACGGAAUAUUCUGCAUUCCACAUUUUCGACGAGUUGGACGUUUAUAUGGACGAGCUUACCCGUGUUAAAAAGUAACAAAAAAAAAAAAAAAAAAAUAAAAUAAAAUAAUAAAAAAAAUGGUGGUGGUAA
Piliocolobus tephrosceles (Ugandan red Colobus) is the source of this 2023-nucleotide long non-coding RNA. Lineage: Eukaryota; Metazoa; Chordata; Mammalia; Primates; Cercopithecidae. The record is from Ensembl.